UACGUAGGGUGCGAGCGUUGUCCGGAAUUAUUGGGCGUAAAGAGCUCGUAGGCGGUGUGUCACGUCGGCCGUGAAAACCUGCAGCUUAACUGUGGGCGUGCGGUCGAUACGGGCAUCACUGGAGUUCGGCAGGGGAGACUGGAAUUCCUGGUGUAGCGGUGAAAUGCGCAGAUAUCAGGAGGAACACCGGUGGCGAAGGCGGCAUCCUGGACCAUUACUGACGCUGAGGCGCGAAAGCUAGGGGAGCGAACAGG
This 254-nucleotide ribosomal RNA is filed under the name uncultured bacterium. Its description in RNAcentral is "partial 16S ribosomal RNA". It matches the Rfam family "Bacterial small subunit ribosomal RNA", at positions 524 to 776 of the family's 1533-position model. The record is from RNAcentral.